GUGUGUAUAUUGAUGAGGGAAAAAAAAUAUUUAAUCCAUUUUAGAAUAAGGCUGUAAUGUAAAACAAAUUAGGGGAAAAGUCAAGGGGUCUGAAUACUUACUGAAUGCAGUGUAUGUACACUUGUUUAAUACAGUGAGAGUCAGAGAGAGGAUUGAGCAUCAUUCAAGAGCCCACAUUGCUAACUGGAGUUUGUAUUGUGUAGGAGAAAAGAGUCUGGGUGGAGUUUGUAUUGUGUAGGAGAAAAGUGUCUGGGUGGAGUUUGUAUUGUGUAGGAGAAAAGUGUCUGGGUGGAGUUUGUAUUGUGUAGGAGAAAAGUGUCUGGGUGGAUGCACAAGCCCUGGAGGUUGAGCUGACAGACUGGCAGAGAGACCAGGAACCAGACACUGACCAUGAGGGAUUUUACCGCACCAGCCUGCCAACCAUCAUCACACAGAUGCUGGAGGGGAAUGUGCGGGUCGCUCUGAUGAUCAGUGAAUCACUUUAGGAUCAGACCACACAGGUGGGGCUCUAUGAGAUGGAGAACCUCAAUAGUUUCCGGGAGGCGCCUGUUGAAUUUGGGAAGGAGCAUCGCUGGGAUCAAAGCACAAAUAACAAGUUCCACCUCUAUCUACUGGCCUCUAAGAGACUGCAUCAUCCUCAUCCUCUAUCAACCCCUGGCUGCUCUGUUCCGGGUUGUGAGGAUGGCCUGCCGUCUGGCGAUAGGUCAACUACUGCUGGAGCUCCAGCCCUUCCUGCAGGGACUCCUGUCUCGCUCCUGACUGGCCCAGGGAUACAUCACGCUCACUUCGAAGUUAUGUGGCGUCCUGGAGCGCCAUAUUGAGAUGUGUAGUUGUGUUCGCCCACCCUGCCAGCACCUUUUGACAAUCAUAUUAGUCUGUAGCUGACUUAUACCAGUGUCCUGAGUAGCGUUUGCAUGCAGUGGCUGAUGGUGGUGGAGUAUGUGAGGGUGUUGAUGCAGAAGAGGCUGGUGUGUUGUAAUGCAGAGGAGCGACGCGAGCUGGCCCAGAGAAUGGCACUGGAUGCCCAGUAUCUGAGGGAUCUCUUCCAGGGCCUGGUUGUGAGGAUACACUUGAGUUUAGCCACAGCCAGUUAUACACAAUCUAGUGGGAAACUCUGCCCAGCUCUGCUCUCUUCUCUAUCCCACAGACUACACACCCAACUCACAGCCGGUCCACACCAUACCCAACAUACACCUCAAACCACACCCUCCUUCGUUUUAAUUCACUGCACCAUUUUAUGUACAGUUUCAAUUUUCACAUAAAUACAAACACACUGUACACUAGCAGUCAAAAGUUUGGACACCAACUAAUUCAAGGAUUUUUCUUUAUUUUUACUAUUUUAUACAUUGUAGAAUAAUAGUGAAGACAAACUAUGAAAUAACACAUGGAAUCAUGUAGUAACCAGAAAAUUUGAGAUUCUUCAAAUAGCAACCCUUUGCCUUGAUGACAGUUUUGCACACUCUUGGCAUCCAUCUUCUCUGACACCCUGGUGCCUAUUCCUAGCAUGCCAUUCUGUCUGCCUACUGCCAUCUGUGCCUGACUACCAAUUUGCACCUUUUAAAUUCACUAAUCACACACACAAGCUUGCGGUUAUAUAAACUUGAAAUGAACAGUAAUACAAUUUAAAAUGUGUGAAAUUCAUGACUUCUUUAUUGGAAUAAUAUGUUGAUGAAUCUGAUAACUUUAAGUGUUUGAUCACUGCCAGAAAGAAAUACAGGUAACAAAAUAAAUAAUUAAUUAAAUGGGGGAUACAAAGUCUAUUGAAAGCAGGUUCUUCCAUACAGUUGUUGUUUCUGAGUUAAUUAAGAAAUGAACCUCCCAUCAUGCUUAAGGUAAUUUAUAAAAAUGCCAAGUUGUGCAUUGUUGCCUACCAUGGCUAGAAGAGAUCUCAAUGAAUUGACUUUGAAAAAGGGGUCCCAAAGGUACAUAGGAGACAGCGUUUCCCACCACCUUCGACAAAACACCCAAUUGUGGAAUUUUUCAUGGAAGAAUGGCGUCGCAUCCCUCCAAUAGAGUUCCAGACACUUGUAGAAUCUAUGCCAAGAUGCAUUGAAGCUGUUCUGGUAGCCCAACACCCUAUUAAAGAGAAAGGAAAGGGGGGUACCUAGACAGUUAUACAACUGAAUGCAUACAACUGAAAUUAAGACACUAUGUUGGUGUUUUUUAUUUAUUUUGGCAUUUCCUUGGAGCAGUUAUCUCGAUCGUUAACUACAGCUAAGCAUUAAUAUCAUUGUUGCCUUUCCACCGGCACUGUACUGUAGAUGGCCUAAAUACUGUACAUCUGCAACGUUGAAAAGAUGGGAUUCCCCGAUAUUAAACAGUAGCCAUGUAAUUGCGACAACGUUAAAACAUAUUCUAAGAAUAGCAUAAUUGACAAAUAACUUGCUGUGCAUAGAUCUCCCCUGAAACAUGAAUAUUUGAGGCUUAUAUGAAUAAACAUGUCUAGUGGGAGACCUUGCUCUGAAGUAGCCCACCUUAUCCACCUGUUUCAUUGAGUUAGGGAAUAAUUUUAUAAAGACAAAAGUAUUUGGUUGUAUUGUUGCACUAUUUUAUAUCAAGUGUGGCAUCCAUCCUCCAGGAUAGCUACUGGGUGGCAACCAUCCUCCAGGAUAGCUACUGGGUGUGCAUGCAGUUGUUCAAGCCCUGAUCUAACCACAUUGUAGCCUAAACAUCAGCUGCUCAACAGGACCUUGAUAAGCAGACUUGGGUGUUUCAGGGCUGGAUCCAGAUAGAGGGUUGAACACAUGUUGACAACAUCUGACUAACAGUGCAGUUAUACUUUGUGUGUGUGUGGGGGGGGUGUUAAGUGCCUUGAUCAAGGGCACAAUGGCAGGAGAUGGUAGGCCUACAUGGGAUCAGACACUGCAGCCUUCCAGUGUCAAUAAUACUUACUAUUUCAUGUAGGGUAUAAUAAUGGUUGAAAGUCAUGGGGAAGUCAUUGAAAAUGUUUAUGAACCCCUUAACAGUGAAUAACUAGAGGUCUCUAUAGCAUAAUGUCAUUUUAGAAUUUCUGUAAAUAUAGUCUUUAAUAGACUCACUUGGAAAAGGACAGCUCCUGCACUUCUUUCAUCCAAAAUCAAGUACUGACUAUAACCAGUUAGCAAGUUGAAAAUGUCAGUAUGUGUUCACACUCAGAUUACAAGGGGUUAAUGCCGCAUUCAAAACAACUGGGAACUUCGACUUCAGUGCGUUCAAGACAACUGGGAACUCCGGGAAAAGCGGGCUCCGAUUGGGGAAAAAUCUUUUUGAACAGUCACCCGACUCGGAAUUCCAAGUCAGACUUGGGUAUCUUUCUUGAGCUCCGACCUGAAGAUCACUGAUGUCAUGAUUUGAUCUCAUUUUUGUCCGAGUUUCCAGUUGUCUUGAAAGCGCCAAAUUUUGACACCAGUGUAUGACUUGGGGGAUGACGUCAGGUGACAUUUCUAGGGAAAACAUGUCUGCCCCGGUUGAGGCAAUGCUGUCAUAAUCCAUUUUUUUAGGGAUUGGUGUAAAAACAUUAUUCUUGUGGAAUACAAAAGACACAGCAUGUAAAUAUGCUAUUUCUGUUUUGUUAUUUGUAAUAAAAUAGCAGAAAUGUAU
This is a non-coding RNA of Oncorhynchus mykiss (rainbow trout), 3579 nucleotides long. The record is from RefSeq and is a predicted model, not a curated record. NCBI's taxonomy places the organism in Eukaryota, Metazoa, Chordata, Actinopteri, Salmoniformes, Salmonidae.